This is a long non-coding RNA of Nerophis lumbriciformis (worm pipefish), 1010 nucleotides long. RefSeq lists it as uncharacterized. The record is from RefSeq and is a predicted model, not a curated record. NCBI's taxonomy places the organism in Eukaryota, Metazoa, Chordata, Actinopteri, Syngnathiformes, Syngnathidae.
AUCCACUGUGUUAAUGAUUCCAGUCUUACUCAAACCGGUUUACGCUGACUCAUCGUUUUGUCCCGUGCCGUCGGUGGGAAGUGGACUUCUCACCGUGAUGACGGCCGUCAGCAGAGCCGUGCUGGUGCCCAUCACGAGGAAGCUGUCGAUGAACCAGGUGGACCAGAUGACGCCGUUUGAGACCCCCAUCACCUUGAGGGUCUCCUUCAGACGCAGCUCCUUUUCCAGGACGAUGCUUUUGACCACCAUGGACACGGAGUAGACCCAGGCCAGGACCAUGAAGACCGGGAAGCAGCGGUUGAGAGUGAGCAUGAAGCUGGGAAAAUGAAGAUUUGUAUUAACAACAGCAAGGCUGAAAACCAACAUUGAAUACCCGUGACCUUCGAUCCCUCAGGUGGUACUGCAUCAAAAGGCGACAUCAGUGUGUAAAGGAUAUCACCACAUGGGCUCAGGGACACUUCAGAAAACCACUGUCAGCAACAACAGUUUGUCGCUACAUCUGUAAGUGCAAGUUAAAACUCUACUAUGCAAAGCGAAAGCCAUUUAUCAACAACACCCAGAAACGCCGCCGGCUUCGCUGGGCUCGAGCUCAUCUAAGAUGGACUGAUGCACAUAUGUGAAGGCACCAUUAAUGCUGAAAGGUCGUCCACAUAACACGGGUAAGGGAUCUGUUGCAGGUAAACACCCAGCGGCCAUUCCUUUCCAGUCUGAGUGCGGAUGAUCCCAUGUUCCAGGAUGUCCUGAAGCAUCGAUAUCCAUACGGAUCUUGAACUUCACAUGAGGCGGGACUUUGGCGCCCCAAGGGUGCAUGUUCACAAAGACCAGGCCGGCCCAGAACUUUCCGUCCUGCAGCAGGUCCAAGGCCCGAUAAGUUACCGCGUCUUCGUCAGGCAGAGGCACAAAUUUAUCCAAGACCAGACACUGAGGGAAAGGGGAAAGACUUGAAUGAGACAAAUUGAAUAUUCUAUUUUCAAUUAUCAAACUCUGGUAACUUUUUUACUAUAAGAACU